GAUGAACGCUGGCGGCGUGCCUAAUACAUGCAAGUCGAGCGAACGGACGAGAAGCUUGCUUUUCUGAUGUUAGCGGCGGACGGGCGAGUAACACGUGUAUAACCUACCUAUAAGACUGGGAUAACUUCGGGAAACCGGAGCUAAUACCGGAUAAUAUUUUGAACCGCAUGGUUCAAAAGUGAAAGACGGUCUUGCUGUCACGUAUAGAUGGAUCCGCGCUGCAUUAGCUAGUUGGUAAGGUAACGGCUUACCAAGGCAACGAUGCAUAGCCGACCUGAGAGAGUGAUCGGCCACCCUGGAACGGAGACAGGGUCCAGACUCCCAGGGGAGGCAGCAGUCGGGAAUCUUCCGCAAUGGGCGAAAGCCUGACGGAGCAACGCCGAGUGAGUGAUGAAGGUCUUCGGAUCGUAAAACUCUGUUAUUAGGGAAGAACAUAUGUGUAAGUAACUGUGCACAUCUUGACGGUACCUAAUCAGAAAGCCACGGCUAACUACGUG
This 497-nucleotide ribosomal RNA is filed under the name uncultured bacterium. Its description in RNAcentral is "partial 16S ribosomal RNA". It matches the Rfam family "Bacterial small subunit ribosomal RNA", at positions 28 to 507 of the family's 1533-position model. The record is from RNAcentral.